Felis catus (domestic cat) is the source of this 1041-nucleotide long non-coding RNA. RefSeq lists it as uncharacterized. The transcript has 3 exons. Lineage: Eukaryota; Metazoa; Chordata; Mammalia; Carnivora; Felidae. The record is from RefSeq and is a predicted model, not a curated record.
CGGCGCCAUCUUGGGAGCGCCUGGGCGGUCGUUCUGGUCUCGCGUCCCUCGCAGCCCGGCCCCUCGGCUUCGCAGGCUGAGCUAUUAUUUCUAUUAAGUCGAACUCAGAAGGGCAUCUUCUUAUUUUGAAGGUAGUGAGCCAGAAACAUUCUAUCGAGACUGCAACUGAUGUAAAUGGUGGCUCAGAGACUGGUAUAGUCAGUAAUAACUGUGGCUCCAAUGGCCAGACUUCCCAGAGACCUCGGGACGGUGGAGGUGAGCCUCCAAUGCCAGCUUGCUUCCUCAGCCGCUUCGCCACUCAAGACCUCUGUGAUAUUUCCAAUCUUCCAAAAGGGAUGACCGCCUUCCAGAACACUUGGGUUUCCUGCCAGCAUCUGGUGGUUAUGGAACUCACCAAAGAGUUCUGAUCCCUGCCUCUUCAUCAGGUUGUCGAGACCACCUGUGAGACUUGGACACCCACGACUCUAGACAAGGUCUCUGCCAGCUCUGUGGAGUCCACUGCGAUGAGUUUGACAAAAAGUCUCAGCAGUUUCCUGCGGCUGUAGUGAAGUGGCUGUUAAGGUUGGGUACAAAGGAACUCACCGGUAUGUUCCACACUGUGGGUGUCCAGAUGCACAGUUUAGAAAUGGGCUUGCCUGUCUGUCUGAUCCCAUGAGGUAGCUUCUAAGGAACGGCUGUGGUGGAGUUUUAUGUUAAUCACAAGAGUGCAGUGAUAAGCACAUCUUAUUUUACUUUCUCACUUAUGUGGUCACUGUUUGUUCAUUUUGAUCCUGCAGAGUAAGGGUUCUAAGAAAAAGAGAAAAAUAGUUUCCUUCUAUACUACCAGAGUGGAAGUGGAGAUGCAAACGUUUCUCUUGGGUAAGUCUCUCUGUACAGUGUUUAACAAGUUUCUAUGUUUCUUCAGGCAAAAUGUACAUCUGCUUGUUUUCUUCGAUUUCCUUCUUUUUUUUUAAGGUAUGGAUUAACUAUAUUUAACCCCUUCCCCAAUCUCUCAUUUCUUUUUUCUUUAGUUUAUUUACUUAUUUCGAUAUAUAUAUAUAU